GGUGGGGAUUAGUGGCGAACGGGUGAGUAACACGUGGGCAAUCUGCCCUGCACUCUGGGACAAGCCCUGGAAACGGGGUCUAAUACCGGAUACUGACCCGCUUGGGCAUCCAAGCGGUUCGAAAGCUCCGGCGGUGCAGGAUGAGCCCGCGGCCUAUCAGCUUGUUGGUGAGGUAAUGGCUCACCAAGGCGACGACGGGUAGCCGGCCUGAGAGGGCGACCGGCCACACUGGGACUGAGACACGGCCCAGACUCCUACGGGAGGCAGCAGUGGGGAAUAUUGCACAAUGGGCGAAAGCCUGAUGCAGCGACGCCGCGUGAGGGAUGACGGCCUUCGGGUUGUAAACCUCUUUCAGCAGGGAAGAAGCGAAAGUGACGGUACCUGCAGAAGAAGCGCCGGCUAACUACGUGCCAGCAGCCGCGGUAAUACGUAGGGCGCGAGCGUUGUCCGGAAUUAUUGGGCGUAAAGAGCUCGUAGGCGGCUUGUCACGUCGGUUGUGAAAGCCCGGGGCUUAACCCCGGGUCUGCAGUCGAUACGGGCAGGCUAGAGUUCGGUAGGGGAGAUCGGAAUUCCUGGUGUAGCGGUGAAAUGCGCAGAUAUCAGGAGGAACACCGGUGGCGAAGGCGGAU
RNAcentral lists this ribosomal RNA (629 nucleotides) under Streptomyces albogriseolus. RNAcentral's name for it is "bacterial SSU rRNA". It matches the Rfam family "Bacterial small subunit ribosomal RNA", at positions 84 to 726 of the family's 1533-position model. The record is from RNAcentral. Lineage: Bacteria; Bacillati; Actinomycetota; Actinomycetes; Kitasatosporales; Streptomycetaceae.